Molecule: small RNA, 1160 nt
Filed under: Pongo abelii (Sumatran orangutan)
Lineage: Eukaryota; Metazoa; Chordata; Mammalia; Primates; Hominidae
Source: RNAcentral
CUUUCUCUCUCCUCCCGCCGCCCAAGAUGCCGAAAGGAAAGAAGGCCAAGGGAAAGAAGGUGGCUCCGGCCCCUGCUGUCGUGAAGAAGCAGGAGGCUAAGAAAGUGGUGAAUCCCCUGUUUGAGAAAAGGCCUAAGAAUUUUGGCAUUGGACAGGACAUCCAGCCCAAAAGAGACCUCACCCGCUUUGUGAAAUGGCCCCGCUAUAUCAGGUUGCAGCGGCAGAGAGCCAUCCUCUAUAAGCGGCUGAAAGUGCCUCCUGCGAUUAACCAGUUCACCCAGGCCCUGGACCGCCAAACAGCUACUCAGCUGCUUAAGCUGGCCCACAAGUACAGACCAGAGACAAAGCAAGAGAAGAAGCAGAGACUGUUGGCCCGGGCCGAGAAGAAAGCUGCUGGCAAAGGGGACGUCCCCACGAAGAGACCACCUGUCCUUCGAGCAGGAGUUAACACCGUCACCACCUUGGUGGAGAACAAGAAAGCUCAGCUGGUGGUGAUUGCACACGACGUGGAUCCCAUCGAGGUGCGUUUGCCUGUUGACUGCUAACCCAAGGGCUUCUGGCAGUACCAGGAAAAGAGUAGACCUAAUGCCAAGUCAGUGAUGGGACCAAAGUGGGUGAGGGCAGUACUAACACAGAUCCAACACAUGCGUGGCUCUUGCAAUGAUGUGAAUCUCUCACUGAAUUCAACCUUGAAGUGCGAAUCCAUGAGCUUUUUAACCCUGAGCAAUUGUUACAAGCUAACUGAAAUUUACUGCUUUUGGUUAAAAUAGUCUUCAGCUAAUGCUUUCUUCCAGCUGGUUGUCUUCUUGCCUGCCCUGUGUCGUAAAAUGGGGGUCCCUUACUGCAUUAUCAAGGGGAAGGCAAGACUGGGACGUCUAGUCCACAGGAAGACUUGCACCACUGUGGCCUUCACACAGGUGAACUCUGAAGACAAAGGCGCUUUGGCUAAGCUGGUGGAAGCUAUCAGGACCAAUUACAACGACAGAUAUGAUGAGAUCCGCCGUCACUGGGGCGGCAACAUCCUGGGUCCUAAGUCUGUGGCUCGUAUCGCCAAGCUCGAAAAGGCAAAGGCUAAAGAACUUGCCACUAAACUGGGUUAAAUGUACACUGUUGAGUUUUCUGUACAUAAAAAUAAUUAAAAUAAUACAAAUUUUCCUUCA